GGUGGCUCAGUGGUAGAGUGCUUGCUUUGCAUUCAUGAGGCCCUGGGUUCGAUUCCCCAGCACCA
RNAcentral lists this transfer RNA (65 nucleotides) under Dipodomys ordii (Ord's kangaroo rat). It matches the Rfam family "tRNA". Rfam says of the family: Transfer RNA (tRNA) molecules are approximately 80 nucleotides in length. Their secondary structure includes four short double-helical elements and three loops (D, anti-codon, and T loops). Lineage: Eukaryota; Metazoa; Chordata; Mammalia; Rodentia; Heteromyidae. The record is from Rfam by way of RNAcentral.